AUUGAACGCUGGCGGAAUGCUUUACACAUGCAAGUCGAGCGGCAGCACGGGGGCAACCCUGGUGGCGAGCGGCGAACGGGUGAGUAAUACAUCGGAACAUGCCCAGUCGUGGGGGAUAACACUUCGAAAGAAGUGCUAAUACCGCAUACGUCCUGAGGGGGAAAGCGGGGGAUCGCAAGACCUCGCGCGAUUGGAGUGGCCGAUGUCAGAUUAGCUAGUUGGUGGGGUAAAGGCCUACCAAGGCAACGAUCUGUAGCUGGUCUGAGAGGAUGAUCAGCCACACUGGGACUGAGACACGGCCCAGACUCCUACGGGAGGCAGCAGUGGGGAAUUUUGGACAAUGGGGGCAACCCUGAUCCAGCCAUUCCGCGUGAGUGAAGAAGGCCUUCGGGUUGUAAAGCUCUGUCGGCAGGAACGAAACGGUGAGCUCUAACAUAGCUUGCUAAUGACGGUACCUGAAGAAGAAGCACCGGCUAACUACGUG
RNAcentral lists this ribosomal RNA (484 nucleotides) under uncultured bacterium. RNAcentral describes it as "partial 16S ribosomal RNA". It matches the Rfam family "Bacterial small subunit ribosomal RNA", at positions 30 to 507 of the family's 1533-position model. The record is from RNAcentral.